NNNNNNNNNNNNNNNNNNNNNNNNNNNUCUGGAUGUGGGUGUCUGUGGGGGGAGGUCGGAGGCAGCGCCCGGCGGGGGGUGGGGGUGGACUGUGGGUUCCUGCCAGGGCUCCGCUCCCCGCGCGAUGCCGCCGCGGUCCCUUUAAGCGGCGCUCAGCCCCGCGGCCCCCACUUCUCCUCCCUCCCUCCCGAGAAAUUGGAGAAGCUGCCGCAGCGCCGGAGGGCCGCCCCACAUCCGUAGGAAGCGAAACUGCCCCUCAGCCCGAGCAGCAGCGGUGCAGGGCAGUUCGUGCCCCCCCGGCGCUGCAGACGGGCGCUGAGGACGCGGGAGGAGCCGCGGGGGUUUCAGCACCUCACUCGUGGGCGCUCCCCCCGCAGCCGCCGCGCCCCCCGAAGCGGCGGUCCCCAGGAGCCCCGUAUCCAACUCGGGACCCCCGGCGGCCCCUGUCCCCCAAACCGCCGGGGCUGCGCGCUCACUGGCGGGGCUGCGGGUUUGGGGUCCCGCCGUGCGCGGCGGUCUCGGGGGUCCCAGAGCCCCCCAGCGCUGCUCCGCCCCGUUCGCUUCGCUCCGCUCCCGUCGGGUCGGCCGCCGCUCCGCUUCCGCCCCUUCGUUACCCAGCAUCAUUCCUUCGGGGCCAUUUCUGCCACUUUUGGACAACUUCUGCCCGCGGGGACAUUGGGGACGCGCGGGGAACUGAGGACGUGGGGCAGCGCUGUGGGGCAGCUAUGGGGCAGAACUAUGGGGCAGUGCAGCAGGACAGCUAUGGGGCAGAUGCGGGGCAGCACCAUGGGGCAGCACCAUGGGGCAGAGUUAUGGGGCAGACCCAUUUGGCUUUUGCCCUUUUUUGGCUCUCUCGGCCCUUCCCCGCCCCCUCUCCCCACUUCCGCACCCCACGGCCGCGCGUGGGCUGUGGGUGUGGGGCAGCCCCCCCUGCUCCCCGCCAUGGGGCCAUGGGUGCUGCUGCUGCUCGGCGCAGGUCUGGGGCCGAACGCGGUGCUUUUGGGGCCGGGGGGGUGGGAGUGGGGGGUGUGGAGGAAGAGACCCCUGCGGGGAG
This 1054-nucleotide long non-coding RNA is filed under the name Phasianus colchicus (ring-necked pheasant). RNAcentral describes it as "lncRNA (ENSPCLG00000016640.1)". The record is from RNAcentral. Lineage: Eukaryota; Metazoa; Chordata; Aves; Galliformes; Phasianidae.